GGUAAACCCCUUGCGCCAAACUGUCCGCUCUAACAGACAGAAACGGUUCCCUGUGAGUAGGUCCCUUCAUUGGAAUCGAAAGCGCCUACGCAUGAACCAUAUGCUUACGGGACGUCGGUCAAAGUUAUUGUGAACAAACCAGCGGUUCCAAAGCAGGCUUGCGCCUGAAUGUUCGAGCAUGGAAUAACAAGGGAUCGAUUCUCUCAGUUCUUUUUGUUGGUCUUUAACCCGAGAAGGAGUAAUUCAGGCCACGGUGUCUGAGUUGGGUCCCCCUAGGCUUCGGCUUAGGCCCCAAUUAGGCUGUGCCCUUACGGGAUCAAUAGGGACUGACGGGGUCGUACGUACCUCUGCGUCAGAGGUGAAAUUCUUAGAUCGUAGGAAGACGAACUUCUGCGAAAGCAUUCGACAAUAAUGUCUUUAUUAAUCAAGAACGAGAGUGUGGGGAUCGAAGAUGACCAAAUACCGUCGUAGUCCACUACUGCAAACAAUGCCGUCUCAGGAUUGAGAAGUGAACUGAAUGACUUUCACAGCACUAACCCCUGAAACGACAAAUCAAAGAUUAUUGGUUCAGGGGGGAGUACAUUCGCAAGGCUGAAACUUAAAGGAAUUGGCGGAAUGACACCACAAGGCGUGGAGUAUGCGGCUGAAUUUG
Molecule: ribosomal RNA, 652 nt
Filed under: uncultured marine eukaryote
Lineage: Eukaryota
Description: bacterial SSU rRNA
Rfam family: Eukaryotic small subunit ribosomal RNA
Source: RNAcentral